This is a long non-coding RNA of Lotus japonicus, 695 nucleotides long. RefSeq lists it as uncharacterized. The record is from RefSeq and is a predicted model, not a curated record. The transcript is spliced from 3 exons. NCBI's taxonomy places the organism in Eukaryota, Viridiplantae, Streptophyta, Magnoliopsida, Fabales, Fabaceae.
AAAAAAAAACAAAACAAAACAAAGCUAGCCUUAACAAAAUUAGAAACACGGCAGCCCCACCCAAUUAUUUCCCCAAAUUGACAGCAGCUUCUUCAUCUUAACCUCUUCUACAUCAAUUUUUUUCUUCUCCCCCAAAGAACUACACUAUAUACCCACCAUAAACUACAAUUAUUGGAAGAAAAUGCUGGAUGGUUUCAAGUGGGAAGCUUUUGGAUAGUUUUGGGUGUUAGGGUUUAUGCUCUAAGAGAUGAGAAGAGUACCCACCCAAUAAAGAGUAUUCACUUGAGCUCAAUGAGACUUGCCGAUCACGGACUCAUCCGGGCAUCUUGAAGUUGUUGGGAGCACUCCUCUUGAUCCUUCAUAGUUAUUCACAGGUAGCCGAGUAGGAGGUUGCUUCAGUUGCAGCUUGUACAGUUACUUCUUUUUGGUAGGCCUCCUACGGUUGGUGGCCAUGUUGAUGUCUUUUGUUGAUCUUUUUGGUAUUCUGUGUAGUAGUCAUAUUUUGUAAAGUGUAAACAACUCUAUGAUGUAUUUGAUGAUGUUGCUUCUUGGAUGUUGGAUAUGUACAUAUUUGGAUCCUUGGUUGGAUUUUAAACCUCAUUGGCAGGUCUUGUUAUUUUGGGAAAUGUAGAAAAACAAAGGAAACUCUGUCCAAUUAUCGUUUGAGCUUCGUAAGCAUGUUUCUUUCUUUAUAA